UACGAAGGGGGCGAGCGUUGUUCGGAAUUACUGGGCGUAAAGCGCGCGCAGGCGGACUGAUCAGUCUGGGGUGAAAUCUCACGGCUCAACUGUGAGCGGUCCCUGGAUACUGUCAGUCUUGAGAUGUCUAGAGGAGAGCGGAAUUCCCGGUGUAGUGGUGGAAUGCGUAGAUAUCGGGAAGAACACCAGUGGCGAAAGCGGCUCUCUGGGGACCAUCUGACGCUGAGGCGCGAAAGCGUGGGGAGCGAACCGG
This 253-nucleotide ribosomal RNA is filed under the name uncultured bacterium. RNAcentral's name for it is "partial 16S ribosomal RNA". It matches the Rfam family "Bacterial small subunit ribosomal RNA", at positions 524 to 776 of the family's 1533-position model. The record is from RNAcentral.